Non-coding RNA from Rhamnusium bicolor, 70 nucleotides. The record is from the annotation of a GenBank genome assembly. NCBI's taxonomy places the organism in Eukaryota, Metazoa, Arthropoda, Insecta, Coleoptera, Cerambycidae.
GCUUGUGGUCGAGUGGUAAGGACACUUGUCUCUCACCCUGGAGUCACAGGUUCGAUCCCCGGUUGAGGCA